This 305-nucleotide ribosomal RNA is filed under the name uncultured bacterium. RNAcentral's name for it is "bacterial SSU rRNA". It matches the Rfam family "Bacterial small subunit ribosomal RNA", at positions 334 to 656 of the family's 1533-position model. The record is from RNAcentral.
UAGACCUACGGGGGGCAGCAGUGGGGAAUAUUGCACAAUGGGGGAAACCCUGAUUCAGCGACGCCGCGUGAGUGAAGAAGUAUUUCGGUAUGUAAAGCUCUAUCAGCAGGGAAGAUAAUGACGGUACCUGACUAAGAAGCCCCGGCUAACUACGUGCCAGCAGCCGCGGUAAUACGUAGGGGGCAAGCGUUAUCCGGAUUUACUGGGUGUAAAGGGAGCGUAGACGGCAGCGCAAGUCUGGAGUGGAAUCCCAUGGCUUAACCAUGGAACUGCUUUGGAAACUGUGCAGCUGGCGUGCAGGAGAG